Long non-coding RNA from Triticum dicoccoides, 1148 nucleotides. RefSeq lists it as uncharacterized. The transcript has 5 exons. NCBI's taxonomy places the organism in Eukaryota, Viridiplantae, Streptophyta, Magnoliopsida, Poales, Poaceae. The record is from RefSeq and is a predicted model, not a curated record.
CUAAGCUUCCUGCCUGCCAGCCCGUCGUCCUCCUCCACGCCCCCACCCGCGGGCCUCCGCCGCGUCCACAUCUGGAGCUCCUCGACCCCAUCCCGUCCGCGGCGGUGACCAGCUGCAGCCUCUCUCUCUCUCUCUCUCUCUCUGCUCGGCUGGGCGGCAGUGAAGUGGGCAGGCGAUCCACUCAUCCUGAUUUCUCUUCUCGGUGUUUCACCCAUCGGUAAGGACAAGACACACAUAAACAUCCUGGUCAUUGGCCAUGUCGACCACCACUGGCCAUCUGAUCUACAAGCCAUCCGAGAAGUCGAUGGCGGCGGCGCUGGAGUUCCUGGGGCGCAGCGCUCGACACGCCCGGAGCUGCCGGAGUGCCAUGGGCAAGGGACAAGACUUGCAUCGACAUCGUGGUCAUUGGCGAUGUCGACCACCACUGGCCAUCUGAUCUACAAGCUUGGAGGUAUUGACAAGCGUGUGAUCGAGAGGUUUUAGAAGGAAGCCACUGAGAUGAACAAGAGGUCAUUCAAGUAUGCGUGGGUGCUCGACCAGCUGAAGGCUGACCGUGAGAGGGGUAUCAACAUUGAUAUUGCCCUGUGGAAGUUUGAGACCACCAAGUACUACUGCAAUGUCAUCGAUGCCCCUGGACACCUUGAUUUCAUCAAGACUCCACCACUGGCUGUUUCUCCUAGGAUGGUUGGACCUGUCAGCACACCCUCCUUGCUUUCACUCUUGGAGUGAAGCAACAAGGAACAACUUAAGGAAGGAGUACAGGGAGAAGCACCCUGACGUCAGGCAUGUCUUCGUGUGGCAAGAAGAUCAUGGUCGUGUGCAUCAUCAAGCACACCAUGGCGAGCAUCCACCUCCUCACAGUGGCAAGAAGAGCAGGUGCCUAGUUUGUAAUCGCUGUCGAAGGAGCUCCAUGCUGAAGAACAUAACACUUGUAGAGCUUGUAAAGUACCAUGUUAUUGAACUUGUGGAGCAUGUAACUAUGACUUCCACUAUUGUAUGUUAGAGUUAUUUGUACAACUUGCUACACUUGCUGAAGAACAUAACACUUGUAGAGCUUGCAAAGUGUAUGUUAGAGUUAUUUGUACAAUAGCAACUCUGUAUUGACAGCAGCAACACUGGCUGGUAUUUGAAGUAUUUUGUGUGUUUUC